UGAGGAAUAUUGGUCAAUGGGCGAGAGCCUGAACCAGCCAAGUAGCGUGAAGGAUGACUGCCCUAUGGGUUGUAAACUUCUUUUAUAAAGGAAUAAAGUCGGGUAUGCAUACCCGUUUGCAUGUACUUUAUGAAUAAGGAUCGGCUAACUCCGUGCCAGCAGCCGCGGUAAUACGGAGGAUCCGAGCGUUAUCCGGAUUUAUUGGGUUUAAAGGGAGCGUAGAUGGAUGUUUAAGUCAGUUGUGAAAGUUUGCGGCUCAACCGUAAAAUUGCAGUUGAUACUGGAUAUCUUGAGUGCAGUUGAGGCAGGCGGAAUUCGUGGUGUAGCGGUGAAAUGCUUAGAUAUCACGAAGAACUCCGAUUGCGAAGGCAGCCUGCUAAGCUGCAACUGACAUUGAGGCUCGAAAAUGUGGGUAUCAAACAGGAUUAGAUACCCUGGUAGUCCACACGGUAAACGAUGAAUACUCGCUGUUUGCGAUAUACGGCAAGCGGCCAAGCGAAAGCGUUAAGUAUUCCACCUGGGGAGUACGCCGGCAACGGUGAAACUCAAAGGAAUUGACGGGGGCCCGCACAAGCGGAGGAACAUGUGGUUUAAUUCGAUGAUACGCGAGGAACCUUACCCGGGCUUAAAUUGCAGAUGAAUUACGGUGAAAGCCGUAAGCCGCAAGGCAUCUGUGAAGGUGCUGCAUGGUUGUCGUCAGCUCGUGCCGUGAGGUGUCGGCUUAAGUGCCAUAACGAGCGCAACCCUUGUUGUCAGUUACUAACAGGUUCUGCUGAGGACUCUGACAAGACUGCCAUCGUAAGAUGUGAGGAAGGUGGGGAUGACGUCAAAUCAGCACGGCCCUUACGUCCGGGGCUACACACGUGUUACAAUGGGGGGUACAGAGGGCCGCUACCACGCGAGUGGAUGCCAAUCCCAAAAACCUCUCUCAGUUCGGACUGGAGUCUGCAACCCGACUCCACGAAGCUGGAUUCGCUAGUAAUCGCGCAUCAGCCACGGCGCGGUGAAUACGUUCCC
RNAcentral lists this ribosomal RNA (1017 nucleotides) under uncultured bacterium. RNAcentral describes it as "bacterial SSU rRNA". It matches the Rfam family "Bacterial small subunit ribosomal RNA", at positions 355 to 1375 of the family's 1533-position model. The record is from RNAcentral.